GAUGAACGCUAGCGGGAGGCUUAAUACAUGCAAGUCGAACGGUAACAGCAGAGUUUACUUUGGCUGACGAGUGGCGCACGGGUGAGUAACGCGUACACAACUUAUCUUCAAGUGGGGAAUAGUCUCGGGAAACUGAGAAUAAUACCGCAUAAAAAUAUUGUACCGCAUGGUACUGAUAUUUAAAGCUCCGGCGCUUGAAGAUAGGUGUGCGUCCUAUUAGGUAGUUGGUGAGGUAACGGCUCACCAAGCCGACGAUAGGUAGGGGGCGUGAGAGCGUGAUCCCCCACACGGGUACUGAGACACGGACCCGACUCCUACGGGAGGCAGCAGUAAGGAAUAUUGGACAAUGGGCGAAAGCCUGAUCCAGCCAUCCCGCGUGCAGGAUGACUGCCCUAUGGGUUGUAAACUGCUUUUGGAAGGGACGAAACGCCUGGAUUUAUCCGGGCCUGACGGUACCUUCAGAAUAAGCACCGGCUAACUCCG
This 483-nucleotide ribosomal RNA is filed under the name uncultured Saprospiraceae bacterium. RNAcentral describes it as "bacterial SSU rRNA". It matches the Rfam family "Bacterial small subunit ribosomal RNA", at positions 28 to 505 of the family's 1533-position model. Lineage: Bacteria; Pseudomonadati; Bacteroidota; Saprospiria; Saprospirales; Saprospiraceae. The record is from RNAcentral.